Molecule: transfer RNA, 68 nt
Filed under: Balclutha sp. EMHAU-2015-Zz052711
Lineage: Eukaryota; Metazoa; Arthropoda; Insecta; Hemiptera; Cicadellidae
Description: tRNA-Glu
Source: RNAcentral
AUUCUUAUAGUUUAUAAAAACACUUUAUUUUCAUUAAAGAAAAAUUAAUUAUAUUUUAAUUUAGAAUU